UAUUGAACCCUUGAAAGGCUGAUGGAUGAUGUAUAGAGCAAUUAUGAAGAUUGAGAUGCCUCAACUGUGAACAUGUGAAAAGUGCGCAAUUUGUACAUCUUCCCAAGUGGAAGGUGAAGUACAAGAUCUUGAAUGUCAUUUCUCGAGAGGAAACAUCUGAAGUUGUCGAUCUCAGGACAACUUUCUAGAUAAGCAACAUUGAGGGUAAACUUAGUAAUGGGUCCUUCAUGAACUGUCAAAAGCUGGUAGAUAAUCUUUGUAAAUUUUAUUGUAGG
This 275-nucleotide unclassified non-coding RNA is filed under the name Hevea brasiliensis (rubber tree). Lineage: Eukaryota; Viridiplantae; Streptophyta; Magnoliopsida; Malpighiales; Euphorbiaceae. The record is from RNAcentral.